Molecule: unclassified non-coding RNA, 131 nt
Filed under: uncultured Helotiales
Lineage: Eukaryota; Fungi; Ascomycota; Leotiomycetes; Helotiales
Description: sequence contains ITS1
Source: RNAcentral
CAGAGAUCAUGCCCUUCGGGGUAGACCUCCCACCCUGUGUUAUAUACGAUUGUUGCUUUGGCAGGUGCACCUCAGCCAGAGGACCCCAAACUCUGUAUUUAGUGUUGUCUGAGUAAUAUUUUAAUACGUUA